AGAUUGCUGACAGCGGAGGGACAUUAGCGAGUUAAUUACAAGCUCCAAACCCAUGUGAACAUACCUACUGUUGCCUCGGCAGGUCGUGCUGCGCGGCAGGACGGCGGCCCCGCCGGGGGGUUAGCUACCCUGGAGUAGCUGCCCCGCGGCCGGGGUCGCCUGCCCCGCAGCACGCCAACAGGCCUGCCGAAGGACCCCUAAACUCUGUUUUACACCUGUAUCUCUGAGUCUAUUAUACAAAUAAGUUAAAACUUUCAACAACGGAUCUCUUGGUUCUGGCAUCGAUGAAGAACGCAGCGAAAUGCGAUAAGUAAUGUGAAUUGCAGAAUUCAGUGAAUCAUCGAAUCUUUGAACGCACAUUGCGCCUAACAGUAUUCUGUUAGGCAUGCCUGUUCGAGCGUCAUUUCAACCCCCAAGCCCUAUUUGCUUGACGUUGGGAGUUUACGGAGACGUAAUUCCUUAAAUAUAGUGGCGGAGCUGGGUCGUGCUCUAAGCGUAGUAACCACAUUCUCGCUUCUGCAGCCGGCCUAGGUCUUGCCGUAAAACCCCCUAUAUUUUUUUUACUGGUGACCUCGGAUCAGGUAUGCAAAAGAAACCAACAGGGAUUGCCCUAGUAACGGCGAGUGAAGCGGCAACAGCUCAAAUUUGAAAUCUGGCCUUCGGGUCCGAGUUGUAAUUUGCAGAGGAUGCUUUUGGCGCGGUGCCUUCCGAGUUCCCUGGAACGGGACGCCUUAGAGGGUGAGAGCCCCGUACGGUUGGACACCAAGCCUCUGUAAAGCUCCUUCGACGAGUCGAGUAGUUUGGGAAUGCUGCUCUAAAUGGGAGGUAAAUUUCUUCUAAAGCUAAAUACCGGCCAGAGACCGAUAGCGCACAAGUAGAGUGAUCGAAAGAUGAAAAGCACUUUGAAAAGAGGGUUAAAUAGCACGUGAAAUUGUUGAAAGGGAAGCGUUUACGGCCAGACCUUCUCCUGGCGGAUCAUCUGGUGUUCUCACCAGUGCACUUCGCCAGGUCUAGGCCAGCAUCGGCUUCCGUAGGGGGAUAAAAGCAGUGGGAAAGUAGCUCCCUCGGGAGUGUUAUAGCCCUAAGCAUAAUGCCCUUACGGGGGCCGAGGACCGCGCUCUUGCAAGGAUGCUGGCGUAAUGGUCGUCAACGACCCG
This 1157-nucleotide ribosomal RNA is filed under the name Obolarina sp. CHTAE24. Its description in RNAcentral is "eukaryotic LSU rRNA". The stretch from base 523 to 1157 matches the Rfam family "Eukaryotic large subunit ribosomal RNA", at positions 1 to 651 of the family's 3401-position model. Lineage: Eukaryota; Fungi; Ascomycota; Sordariomycetes; Xylariales; Xylariaceae. The record is from RNAcentral.